UCACCGGAUCUCAUUGACUUUUUUAUAUGGACAUACAUAUCUCUAAAUCAUAUUUUUAUUGAAUCCAAAUUACAAUCUGAGUACUAAAAAUUUACUGAAAUUUUCAACAGGAAAUUCUCAUAUGGAUUCCAGUAAGAUGGUCAGUCAGAGGUUAUAUUAUCAUACCACUUCCACUCCUCAUUCAGCCAAUCCAUUGUAUGGAUACACUAUUUCAUAGUGUAUUAAAAGGUGUUUCUAUUUUUGGAGGAUACACAUGUUGUUGUUCAAGGGCAGAAGAGGCAUGUGACUUUUGGUGCUCUGGUAGGCAACUAAAUAUCUGGCAUGCAGACAGAUAACUUUGGAGGAUAUUCAAAUGAGCAGGCUAAAAAGCUAUGCUAAUACUAAGAUUCAGUCUUCUGUUUAUUACUACCCACAAUUUUCAGAAUAUAGCAGUUCUGUUGGGUGGAGCUCUCAGGAGCCUGGGGGCAUACAGACCUCUGGGUAUCAUUCAGGUUGUUAUUACGGCUAUCAACCAUCGAUAAACCAAAGCAGUACAGGGACAGAUCAUCCUGCUUGUAGAAAUAAUGAAGAGGGUUUCCAGACCCGAGGAAGCAAAAUCUUUCCUUCAUCCUGGGCAACUGAGCCGGUUGAAUUUUGGGCAUCCGACUAACAGAAAUGUGAGAAUAUCAUGUAACAUUUGAGUCAUUGACAGUAGAUGCAGGUCAUGGAAGCUGCCAUCUGAAUUGGAUCUGUAUG
Molecule: long non-coding RNA, 735 nt
Organism: Lolium rigidum
Lineage: Eukaryota; Viridiplantae; Streptophyta; Magnoliopsida; Poales; Poaceae
Exons: 3
Source: RefSeq, a predicted model, not a curated record